Aegilops tauschii subsp. strangulata is the source of this 1586-nucleotide long non-coding RNA. RefSeq lists it as uncharacterized. NCBI's taxonomy places the organism in Eukaryota, Viridiplantae, Streptophyta, Magnoliopsida, Poales, Poaceae. The record is from RefSeq and is a predicted model, not a curated record.
GCCCAGUUCCUUCAGUUUCGGCCCGACUGCGUUUUUUUCCUGUCCAUGCGAUUUUAGCUAUUUAUCCAGAGAAUGCAGUUUUACAGAAAAACCUUAGUCUUUAUGCAUAUAAUAACUCAUGAACCGUGCAUCAUAUUAAAAUGUUUUAUAUAUGUAAAAUGAUUAGGAUUUCAUCUACUUUCAUAAUACUCCCUCGUCCGGGAAAAGUUGUCCCCAUGGCGAUUUUACAAAAAAAAAAACCUCCCCAAACUCCCGACACAACCUGCGCGCUCCUCGUCUUCUCCAGACGAUGCUCGCCGCUCCGACACAGGCGCACGGACGCCGGAGCUCCUCUGCGCCGCGCUGCUCCCCUGUCUCCCGCGCGUCCUCCGCCGCCGCCGCAGCUGCCUCCUCCGCCGCUCCCUUUUGCCUCGCGCAGCUCCCCUGCCUCACUUGCCUGCCUCCCGAAUCUCCCCUCUUUGACCCCAAAAAUUGCUUCUUCUUCCUCUCGCCGUGUCUCUUGCUCGAGCCCACCACCUCCCACCUAGCGUUGACGGAAGAAGCGUGGCCAGCCCUCGGCCUGGCGGCCGGCGACGCGGCCUUCCCACCCCCGCCCCGGCCCCCGUGGCGUGGGGCGCGGCCGCGACGGCGCGGCGGGAGACGGUGGCCAAGGAAUCGUCCGCGCGCAGGCGGUGAGCUGGAUCGUGUCCAGCCGCGCCAACUCAAGUGGCCUGGCCGUGGACCUCGUCGACGCCAACGCCGUCAUCUCGGGAGGCGCCGCGCUCGCCUAAACCGCGGGCCGGCUGGUCACGGUGCUCGAGGAGGUGUGCGACGCUGCAGCGCGCCGGAGGCUCGCGCUCCUGCCCACCCCCGUCGAGACCACCGAGCCCGCCCCUGAGUUCGUCAAGGGAGUAGGGCCAGCUCGAACCGUGUGCACCAGGAAGAAGGCCAGCCCAAAGUUGAUGAAGGGAGAAAGCCAAUAGGAUGCCCUACAAAUCGAUUUCGAACAAGUUUACUGCAGUACCUGACGGCCUCUCACAGUCUGCAACCAGCCAACCACCUCUACUGGCUGCUGCCACUCCUCACAUUGGCUAGGUAAUUCCUCUUAAUUUCUAAGAAAGCUAUCCCCUGCUCUCCGUUGCAACAAGUUUAUGAAUUUUUAACUGAACUUCAACUGAAAAACUGUGUAUCACUGUAUAAAGGAGAAAAUGACUAUGGAUUAAAGGUCUGAGAAAACUGUGUACGUACACUAUGUAUCACUGUAUCAUGGAGCAGUAUAGUACUGAAAACAUCUCCAUAAAUGAAUUUUGACAGUUUACAAAUUCAGAGUUUGGAGUACUAGCAAUUAUCUUCAGCAAGACAAGUUUACAAACAUCUCCAUAACUGAAUUUUACAAAUUCUCCAUAAAUGAAGGCAUCUCCACAAAUUCUCCAUAAAUGAAUUUUGCUUGUACAUACACGGUGUACAAGCAAGAUAAAUUCAGCAAGACAAGUUUACAAAUUCUCCAUGAAUGAAUUUUGACAGUUUACAAACAUCUCCACGAAUACAUGGAAAGAAAAGUUUACAAAUUAUCUUCAGCAAUUAUCUUGCAGGUUCAUCAGCACUUG